Cryptotermes secundus is the source of this 1996-nucleotide long non-coding RNA. RefSeq lists it as uncharacterized. The transcript is spliced from 2 exons. Lineage: Eukaryota; Metazoa; Arthropoda; Insecta; Blattodea; Kalotermitidae. The record is from RefSeq and is a predicted model, not a curated record.
CAGUGGCAGCUGAGGCCGCUGUCACCGGCUGUGUCAAUUGCGAACAUUGCGACGAUUGCGAGUGUGUUAGGUGAAAUACAUGUGUACGUGUGGAAUGAACAAAAACUGAAGAGGAUUGUAUUUUAUUUUGGCUAUUGGUGAUAAAUGGCAGACAACUUGGGUAUUUUGUCCAUUCUGGAAUGUCCAGUCUGUUUUGAAUAUAUCAUCCCACCGAUAUACCAGUGCCAUAAUCAGCAUCUGAUUUGUUUCAACUGUCAAAAGAAACAGACACACUGUCCUGUCUGCCGAGUCAAGUUGCAAAAUGAACGAAAUCUGUGCAUGGAGAAAGUAACAGAAUAUAUUUCUUAUCCGUGCAAGUAUGAAGGCGAUGGCUGCAAUGUAACACUCUCUGUGUGUGAAAAGGAAAACCAUGAGCGGGCCUGUCUUACAAAGGGACAGCACCACUGUUCCCUACUAACAACAGAGGGAAAUGUUUCACAGUGUGACUGGAUUGGCCCAUUUGGAGAAGCUGAUAGUCAUAUAAGACAGAAGCAUAGCCAUUUGAUUAAAAAUUCACUUGAUGGUUCUUUCAGGUUUUGUUCAUCUGAACUGAGGAAUUACCAGUAUUAUAUUUUAUUUGAUGAUAACCUUUUCUGUGCACUAAUACAUACAGAUCCAUUAAGGACUUCCUCUGUCCAUAAGAUAUUCACAUGUUUCUUCCACAUUGUUAGUAUAACUUCCGGGCAAGAAAACUGCUAUGCAUAUAGUGUGAAAAUUGAAGGACGGGAUGAUACAUUUGAAGGAUUUGUUGGAAAGAUUAUCACUCAUGCAGAUAUAAAAAAUGUGGCUAGUAGACGGGAAUGCCUUCAUUUUAUGGGAAGAAAUCACAUUUUUGUACUUCAAGGGAACAUUGUAAAACUGUAAUAAAAACAGAUUCUUAAGUACCUCUAAGCAUUGAUAUCAAAAUUUGAAACCGUUUUUACACUUUCCAGACUGAUAAUGCUGGCAUCUUGAUUUUAUACAUUGGAAAUGUUGCCUCAGUUAAAAUGAUUAGGAAUUAUUUUUAUAACAAUGCAUCAUGUUAAAUUUGAGGUUCUUAUGAUUGUAACUGUAGAGAUUGUCUUCUGAAUCAUGACACCAUGUAGUUUGGUACAUCAAUACCAAUGUUUCAUAGGAACUUGCUGCUUCAGUCUUCUACUAUGAAGAUGGAGGCAAGUUCCUCUGGAACAUUGAUGUUGAUCCACCAAACUACAUGGUGUCACAUUCCAGGAAUCACACUAAUCCUCAGAAUUUGUGUGUUUAUAUUGUAAUAUGAAUAAACUUAGAAAUUGCAACAAUUUGUAAGGUGGGAAUUUUUUAUGUUUUUUAACCCACCUAGUUACGAAUAUAAAAUUGGUACAGAAGAAUCCAGCGCUGCUUUUACAAAGAUGGUGGACAAACUAUAUUUUGCUUAGAAGCAGACAGUAGUACACAAGAGUCUGCUAUAUGCACAAAUGUCUGGUGUUACUGCCAUUCAGAUGGGUCAGUGGCUAAUCAUAUUUGCCUACAUUACACAUAAUUUCCAGUUGGCUUGUUAUUUAAACUUUUAUGUUCACUUUGUGUAAGUAGCAUAAAUGUAUGAAAUGCAUGAUGAAUGUGAAAUAAAUUUAAUUUAUCACUUAAAUAUUACUUCUCUGUUCUCAUGAUAUUUUUGUGGUUCCCAAAAGUCACUGCAUCAUAUUCUUAAAGACAUUUUCAGCAUGGGCCAAAGAGUGGAAUGCUAUCCAAUGGGGCAACCAUGUGGCUAUGUAACAAGACAAAACUGAAAGUUUUCUUUAAGGCAGUCAACUACUUGGUGAAGAAGCUGAUGAAAAUUCAGUGACCACAGGGAUAGGAAGUUUCUGUGCCCCUCCAUCAGUCCACAUGGGUGAUGUCUAGCGUUUGGGUGGUUGGUUUGGAGAGGGCAGAGGUGAAGCCAGGCUCUCCUAAGUCUGCAUUCAUCUUCAGGAUUGAAAUUAUGAAAGUGUGCACAAACUAA